RNAcentral lists this transfer RNA (70 nucleotides) under Camponotus floridanus (Florida carpenter ant). It matches the Rfam family "tRNA". Rfam says of the family: Transfer RNA (tRNA) molecules are approximately 80 nucleotides in length. Their secondary structure includes four short double-helical elements and three loops (D, anti-codon, and T loops). Further hydrogen bonds mediate the characteristic L-shaped molecular structure. tRNAs have two regions of fundamental functional importance: the anti-codon, which is responsible for specific mRNA codon recognition, and the 3' end, to which the tRNAs corresponding amino acid is attached (by aminoacyl-tRNA synthetases). tRNAs cope with the degeneracy of the genetic code in two manners: having more than one tRNA (with a specific anti-codon) for a particular amino acid; and 'wobble' base-pairing, i.e. permitting non-standard base-pairing at the 3rd anti-codon position. The record is from Rfam by way of RNAcentral. Lineage: Eukaryota; Metazoa; Arthropoda; Insecta; Hymenoptera; Formicidae.
AGGCUAAUAGCUCAGUGGCAGAGUGAUUGCUUUAUGAGUAAGAGAUCUUAAGUUCGAAUCCUGAUGCCUU